RNAcentral lists this transfer RNA (85 nucleotides) under Felis catus (domestic cat). It matches the Rfam family "tRNA". Rfam says of the family: Transfer RNA (tRNA) molecules are approximately 80 nucleotides in length. Their secondary structure includes four short double-helical elements and three loops (D, anti-codon, and T loops). Further hydrogen bonds mediate the characteristic L-shaped molecular structure. tRNAs have two regions of fundamental functional importance: the anti-codon, which is responsible for specific mRNA codon recognition, and the 3' end, to which the tRNAs corresponding amino acid is attached (by aminoacyl-tRNA synthetases). tRNAs cope with the degeneracy of the genetic code in two manners: having more than one tRNA (with a specific anti-codon) for a particular amino acid; and 'wobble' base-pairing, i.e. permitting non-standard base-pairing at the 3rd anti-codon position. The record is from Rfam by way of RNAcentral. Lineage: Eukaryota; Metazoa; Chordata; Mammalia; Carnivora; Felidae.
GCCUGGGUGGCUCAGUCGGUUGAGCAUCUGACUUCAGCUCAGGUCAUGAUCUCUCGGUUCGUGAGUUCAAGCCCCAUGUCAGGCU